Molecule: ribosomal RNA, 491 nt
Filed under: uncultured bacterium
Lineage: Bacteria
Description: bacterial SSU rRNA
Rfam family: Bacterial small subunit ribosomal RNA
Source: RNAcentral
AGGCCUAACACAUGCAAGUCGAACGGUAACAUGAAAGAGCUUGCUCUUUUGAUGACGAGUGGCGGACGGGUGAGUAAUGUCUGGGGAUCUGCCCGAUGGAGGGGGAUAACUACUGGAAACGGUAGCUAAUACCGCAUAAUGUCGCAAGACCAAAGUGGGGGACCUUCGGGCCUCACGCCAUCGGAUGAACCCAGAUGGGAUUAGCUGGUAGGUGAGGUAAUGGCUCACCUAGGCGACGAUCCCUAGCUGGUCUGAGAGGAUGACCAGCCACACUGGAACUGAGACACGGUCCAGACUCCUACGGGAGGCAGCAGUGGGGAAUAUUGCACAAUGGGCGCAAGCCUGAUGCAGCCAUGCCGCGUGUAUGAAGAAGGCCUUCGGGUUGUAAAGUACUUUCAGCGGGGAGGAAGGGGAUUAAGUUAACAGCUUAGUUCAUUGACGUUACCCGCAGAAGAAGCACCGGCUAACUCCGUGCCAGCAGCCGCGGUAAU